UACGGAGGGUGCAAGCGUUAUCCGGAUUUACUGGGCGUAAAGCGUGCGCAGGCGGUGAUGUAAGGCAGGUGUGAAAUCCCCGGGCUUAACCUGGGAACUGCAUUUGUGACUGCAUCGCUGGAGUGCGGCAGAGGGGGAUGGAAUUCCGCGUGUAGCAGUGAAAUGCGUAGAUAUGCGGAGGAACACCGAUGGCGAAGGCAAUCCCCUGGGCCUGCACUGACGCUCAUGCACGAAAGCGUGGGGAGCAAACAGG
Molecule: ribosomal RNA, 253 nt
Filed under: uncultured bacterium
Lineage: Bacteria
Description: partial 16S ribosomal RNA
Rfam family: Bacterial small subunit ribosomal RNA
Source: RNAcentral